This 253-nucleotide ribosomal RNA is filed under the name uncultured bacterium. Its description in RNAcentral is "partial 16S ribosomal RNA". It matches the Rfam family "Bacterial small subunit ribosomal RNA", at positions 524 to 776 of the family's 1533-position model. The record is from RNAcentral.
UACGUAGGGUGCGAGCGUUGUCCGGAAUUCUUGGGCGUAAAGGGCUCGUAGGCGGUUUGUCGCGUCGGGAGUGAAAACACCGGGCUUAACUCGGUGCUUGCUUUCGAUACGGGCAGACUUGAGGCAUGCAGGGGAGAACGGAAUUCCUGGUGUAGCGGUGAAAUGCGCAGAUAUCAGGAGGAACACCGGUGGCGAAGGCGGUUCUCUGGGCAUGUUCUGACGCUGAGGAGCGAAAGUGUGGGGAGCGAACAGG